This 253-nucleotide ribosomal RNA is filed under the name uncultured bacterium. RNAcentral's name for it is "partial 16S ribosomal RNA". It matches the Rfam family "Bacterial small subunit ribosomal RNA", at positions 524 to 776 of the family's 1533-position model. The record is from RNAcentral.
UACGUAGGGUGCGAGCGUUGUCCGGAAUUACUGGGCGUAAAGAGCUCGUAGGUGGUUUGUCGCGUUGUCCGUGAAAACUCACAACUCAAUUGUGGGCGUGCGGGCGAUACGGGCAGACUGGAGUACUGCAGGGGAGACUGGAAUUCCUGGUGUAGCGGUGGAAUGCGCAGAUAUCAGGAGGAACACCAGCGGCGAAGGCGGCUUUCUGGUCCGAUACUGACGCUGAGGUGCGAAAGCGUGGGGAGCGAUCCGG